GGGGAUGUAGCUCUGUUGUAGAGUACUUGUCUAGCAAGCAUGAGGCUCUGGAUUUGAAACCUAGCACUUCUA
Molecule: transfer RNA, 72 nt
Filed under: Ictidomys tridecemlineatus (thirteen-lined ground squirrel)
Lineage: Eukaryota; Metazoa; Chordata; Mammalia; Rodentia; Sciuridae
Description: Spermophilus tridecemlineatus (thirteen-lined ground squirrel) tRNA
Rfam family: tRNA
About the family: Transfer RNA (tRNA) molecules are approximately 80 nucleotides in length. Their secondary structure includes four short double-helical elements and three loops (D, anti-codon, and T loops). Further hydrogen bonds mediate the characteristic L-shaped molecular structure. tRNAs have two regions of fundamental functional importance: the anti-codon, which is responsible for specific mRNA codon recognition, and the 3' end, to which the tRNAs corresponding amino acid is attached (by aminoacyl-tRNA synthetases). tRNAs cope with the degeneracy of the genetic code in two manners: having more than one tRNA (with a specific anti-codon) for a particular amino acid; and 'wobble' base-pairing, i.e. permitting non-standard base-pairing at the 3rd anti-codon position.
Source: Rfam by way of RNAcentral